Molecule: long non-coding RNA, 1527 nt
Organism: Papaver somniferum (opium poppy)
Lineage: Eukaryota; Viridiplantae; Streptophyta; Magnoliopsida; Ranunculales; Papaveraceae
Exons: 3
Source: RefSeq, a predicted model, not a curated record
GAGAACAGAUAACUGAAUCACAAAAACUCCUGUAUCACACUCUCUUUUUUCUCUCCUUCUCUUUUUCUUUUUCUCUUGAAAAUUUGCAUGCUUACUGAUGUUAUUUCUGUGUUUCCAUUGUGCAGGAGAGGACCGAUGUGAUUGUUUUAGUUGUGAUGACGACGAUGAUGCUAGAUCCAGCAGAAACAAAUUAUACAGUGAAGAUUUUGGUCAAUGAUAGAAUCGAGAUGAUGAGUCAAGUAGUGAAGGAGGAUCUAAUUCUCAUCUUGCAGUCACCAUCUUGAAUCCUUGAUCCCAGUUUAUUGAAGCAAGCAGUACAAGUUACCAAUAAAAUUUGAAGUUCACUUGAGCUCAUAUGACCACAAUCACAAAAAGGUAAACAGAUUCUCAUAAUGUCUUUUUAAGUUUAUCUUCCAGACUAGAAUGUUUGAUGUGAUACAUCGUAUUUUUUUUAUUGUGCAUAUAAGCAUCGAUUUUGCUUAAAUGGGUACUUACUUUUGCGUGAGGCUUGCACCAAUUUAAAAAAUAAUAGAAAAAUGCAGAGUAUUAGUAGUUGAGAUCGAAGUUUCAUGAGAAUUUCAGUACAGACAUUGAUAAUAGAAGAUCUGGAUAUGAAUACAAACGACCAAAGAGAUUGGAUUAGAGGAGAAAAGGAAGAAAUGGACUCACAUCUAGGUCCAUUAAUUAUUCAAAUGGUUGAACAAGAUCAUGGCUAAUGAGUAAGUUGCUGAGAUUGCAUAAGGUGAUUCCAAACACGCAAAGAGGUGGUGUAUUCUCUUAGUUGUAUUUUUCGCUACAUCAUGUUUUUGAUUCCUUUGUAAGAAAAUGUUCUUACAGAUGAUUCAGAGAAAUGUUCUGAGUUGUAUUUUUCACCACAUCUUACAUUAUAAAUAUUCUUACAUGUGAUUCUCUAAUUCUUUGCAGCAAUACUGCGCAAGCUUUUGAACAAAUAUGAGAUAAGUGUUUUAUUACUAGAUGUACCAGUAUUACAAUUUGAUGGAAUACAUAAAAGUAUAUAACGCUGAUAAGAAUUUUUUUUCACGAAUAAAAUGCAAACACAUGUGACAAAUUGGGCCUCUACACCUGAAACAAAUUGCUCAAUUUGCAUGUUCUCUCCAGAUCCGGUGUUAUCCAUGUUAAGAGCCUUGAAAAUAAUGCAACACACCAGUCGGUAGUAUGCAUUAUGUUCUCGCCGAUGCAUUAUGCAAAGUUAGAUUAUGAGAUCAGGUGGGGAACACGCAACACGGAGAUGACAAGAAUGGAUACGAUUGUUGUAUGUUAAUUCCAUUGCUUCCGUCUAUGACUCUAUAAUAAGUUACUCCGGGAUUGCGAAUGUUAAAAUAUUAAGAUACUCCUUGGGUUGUAUAAGAUUCAGUGCCCUCUCAAUAUCUCAAGUUUAGUUAUAAUUCAUUUUUUCAUUAAGGCUUUCUUCUUUGGGAGUAUGGUAAGUUAUCCAGCUUCUGGGAAUGUAGGUAUUAUGAAUGCUCCAAUUGAUUCGCUCAUUCUUAUAAUAACAUAUUUGAUACA